Molecule: transfer RNA, 62 nt
Filed under: Cosmoscarta mandarina
Lineage: Eukaryota; Metazoa; Arthropoda; Insecta; Hemiptera; Cercopidae
Description: tRNA-Gly
Source: RNAcentral
AUUCUUUUAGUAUAAAUGUAUAUUUGACUUCCAAUCAAAAGGUCUAAAUAAUAGAAAGAAUA